Pongo pygmaeus (Bornean orangutan) is the source of this 1078-nucleotide RNA transcript. RefSeq lists it as uncharacterized. The transcript has 3 exons. The record is from RefSeq and is a predicted model, not a curated record. NCBI's taxonomy places the organism in Eukaryota, Metazoa, Chordata, Mammalia, Primates, Hominidae.
UAUACAUUGCAUCACAAUCUAGAUUUCAGAGGAAAGUUUUGGAUAGAAUAACCCAGACCCAAGUCUGGGUAAUUUAAAGCCUGGGUGAAAUGGAGCAGAAACAGCCCAGAAUAUACAGGCUAGAGAAACUCAGAACUACUGACCCACAGGGAAGGCAAGCGGGGAUAUGAGACAGAGGAAUCAAACGCUGCCCUGGUGGAGGACGCUGUGGGUUUACAGUGGAUGAUUCCCUCUGCCUAUGAGAUAAAAGGGCUGGCUGUGUACUUUGAACCCCAGCCUCACCCACCUCUGCCUGGGUGUGGCCCUUACUCUCUGGAAGCCUUACUCGGGAGAGCACAGGACAGUGUGAGGCCUGAAUCUCCAGGAAAUAGAGUCUGUGGGCAGCCAUUGACUCCAAGUCAAUGAGAACAGGGUGUGCUAUUUCCUCUGUGCUGUGUCUUCCCUGCCCCACUCCCCGCCCCUUUGUCCUAUGGUGCCCAGGCUGCCUGCACUGCUCAGAUGCCACAGGCCUUGCCAGGGGCCUCCUGAGAGGUUUCUGAGGCUUGCAGCUGGUGGUCCCGUUAGUCUGCACGUCUUCGAGUUCCCCUCCCAGAGGAGAAAGCAUAUGCUGCUGGGACCGACUGCAGCUCCUCAUGGAUGCACCUGCCACCAGGAAAUUGUUGUUCAGUCUGGGAUUGCUUUCUCUUCCCAAAGCACAAUCUCACAUGCAGUCAUGAGCCCGGUCCAGCCUCUGGGACAGAAGAUUUCGUGCUAUUAUAAACCAACAGCACUGCAGGUGCUGCACAAGGAAUGGAAAAUCAAUCUGAGUGUCAUUAAGAGCAUAUUCCCUGAAGAAGAUUGCUGAUGACAGUGGAUUUGUCACCCAACUCAGUAUCUUUUCCUGAGCAAUAGGAAUUUCUUCCAUGGGGAAUGAAACCUAGUGUUGUUUCCCUGCGUGAAUCCAGGCCUUUCACUGACCUGCCAAGUUUUCAUUCCAUUGUCUCACCGUCAUUGGCUGAUCUGAUCUCUACGUUGAUUAAUUAGUUUCAAGCCCCUUCAUACUGAUCUAAUAAAAUUGGCUUGUUUAAUUUGUGUCAGG